RNAcentral lists this ribosomal RNA (819 nucleotides) under uncultured organism. RNAcentral's name for it is "bacterial SSU rRNA". It matches the Rfam family "Bacterial small subunit ribosomal RNA", at positions 24 to 833 of the family's 1533-position model. The record is from RNAcentral.
UCAGAACGAACGCUGGCGGCGCGUUUAAGCAUGCAAGUCGAACGGGAUCAUUCCUUCGGGGAUGUGAGAGUGGCGAACGGGUGAGUAACACGUGGGUGAUCUACCGCUUGGCGGGGGAUAGCCCAUGGAAACAUGGGGUAAUACCGCAUACGACCGAUCUGCUGUGGCGGGUUGGGGAAAGGCGCUUAGGCGUCACCGAGCGAUGAGCCUGCGGCUGAUUAGCUGGUUGGUAGGGUAACGGCCUACCAAGGCAACGAUCAGUAGCCGGCCUGAGAGGGUGAUCGGCCACACUGGGACUGAGAUACGGCCCAGACAACUACGGUUGGCAGCAGCUAAGAAUCUUCCGCAAUGGACGAAAGUCUGACGGAGCGACGCCGCGUGGGCGAUGAAGGCCGUGAGGUUGUAAAGCCCUUUUCUAUCGGAGGAAUAAGCCUGGGAGGGAAUGCCCGGGUGAUGACGGUACGGUAGGAAUAAGCCCCGGCCAAUUACGUGCCAGCAGCCGCGGUAACACGUAAGGGGCGAGCGUUGUUCGGAAUUAUUGGGCGUAAAGGGCACGUAGGCGGCACGGUAAGCCUGGUGUGAAAGACCGCAGCUUAACUGCGGAGACGCGCUGGGAACUGCCGAGCUUGAGUGCUGGAGGGGGAGCUGGAAUUCCAGGUGUAGGGGUGAAAUCUGUAGAUAUCUGGAAGAACACCGGUGGUGAAGACGAGCUCCUGGCCAGAUACUGACGCUGAGGUGCGAAAGCGUGGGGAGCGAACAGGAUUAGAUACCCUGGUAGUCCAACGCCGUAAACGAUGUGCAGUAGGUGUAGGGUUCAUU